CUCAACCCUCAACAAGUCACGAAAUCCCAGUGACACCAGGGACAAGCCGUGUCUUCGUGCCUCAACCCUCAACAAGUCACGAAAUCCCAGUGACACCAGGGACAAGCCGUGUCUUCGCGCCUCAACCCUCA
Molecule: long non-coding RNA, 131 nt
Organism: Ixodes scapularis (black-legged tick)
Lineage: Eukaryota; Metazoa; Arthropoda; Arachnida; Ixodida; Ixodidae
Exons: 3
Source: RefSeq, a predicted model, not a curated record